UGCCAGCCGCCGCGGUAACACGAACCGGACAAACGUUAUUCGGAAUUAUUGGGCUUAAAGGGUGUGUAGGCGGUCAUGUAGGUGGGGUGUGAAAUCCCUCGGCUCAACCGAGGAACUGCGCUCCAAACCCCAUGACUAGAGGGAGACAGAGGUAAGCGGAACUGAUGGUGGAGCGGUGAAAUGCGUUGAUAUCAUCAGGAACACCAGUGGCGAAAGCGGCUUUCUGGACCGAUACUGACGCUGAGACGCGAAAGCGUGGGGAGCAAACAGGAUUAGAUA
This 279-nucleotide ribosomal RNA is filed under the name uncultured bacterium. RNAcentral describes it as "partial 16S ribosomal RNA". It matches the Rfam family "Bacterial small subunit ribosomal RNA", at positions 506 to 784 of the family's 1533-position model. The record is from RNAcentral.